Long non-coding RNA from Dermochelys coriacea (leatherback sea turtle), 1322 nucleotides. RefSeq lists it as uncharacterized. The transcript is spliced from 2 exons. The record is from RefSeq and is a predicted model, not a curated record. Lineage: Eukaryota; Metazoa; Chordata; Testudines; Dermochelyidae.
CAUUUGCAAUCCCGUUGGGAGGGGGCUUGAUGUAUGUGUUUCCCCCGCUCCACUUGGUACACAAGGUCCUGCUCAAGGUACGCAGGAACAGGGCACUGGUGGUCCUCAUCGCCCCGGCGUGGCCCCACCAGCACUGGUACACAAUGCUCCUAGAGCUGUCGGUGAAGGCCCCGGUAGUCCUGCCCCUACACCAGGACCUCAUGCAAGAUGGUGGACGGCUUCUCCAUCCCGACCUGCAAUCGCUACACCUGACGGCGUGGAAGCUCUGUGGCUAAAUGCCUUGGAGAGCUAGUGCUCCCUUCCUGUGCAGCAGAUUCUGCUUGGCAGUAGGAAACCCUCUACCAGGGCUACCUAUAUGGCCAAGUGGAAAAGGUUCUCCUGUUGGUGUGAGCCCUGACAGGUGCAGCCAUGCCAGCUCCUGGUGCAAGCCAGUCUCAAGUGCCUCCUGCACCUCAAGCAGCAGGGUCUGGUUCCGUCCUCACUCAGAGUGCACCUGGGAACCAUCUCUGCCUUCCAUCCGGGGUUUUCAGGGGGCUCGGUGUUUUUCCAGUCAGUGGUGGGAUGGUUCCUUAAAGGAUUGGAGAGGAUGUUUCUGUACUCAUGCCCCCCAGUCCCUCCUUGGAACCUGAACUUGGUCUUCGCUAAGCUCAUAGAAUCCCUGUUCAAGCCACUUGCUACCUGCUCCCUCCUCCACCUUUCCUGGAAGGUGGCAUUUCUGGUUGCCACUACCUUGUCCAGAAGGGUGUCUGACCUGAGGGCUCUCACCUCUGAGCCAUCGUAUACAGUUUCACAAGGAUAAGGUGCAGCUCUGACCGCACCCCAAGUUCCUCCCUAAGGUGGUCUCGCAAUUCCAUUUGGGCCAGGACAUUUGUCUGCCGGUGUUGUGUGUGGGGUUGGGUUUUUUUUUUUUUUUUUUUCCCCAAAACCCCAUACGGACCUGAGUCACCGCAGCCUACACACCCUGGAUAUCUGUCGAAUGCUGCCAUUCUAUUUGGAGCACACCAAACCCUUUCGUAAAUCCGCGCAGCUGUUCGUGGCCAUAGCCGAGAGGAUGAAAGGCCUCCCAGUGUCGGCGCUGCGGAUCUCUUCUUGAAUUACAAGCUGCAUCUGGACUUGGUCCCGAUCUAGGAGAUAUGCAAAGCAGCCACCUGGUCCUCGGUGCGCACCUUCACAACCUACUAUGCAGUCAACCAGCAGGCCAGAGAGGACACAGCAGUUGGCAAAGCGGUCCUCCAAUCAGUUGUUCUGUGACUCCUACCCUUUUCCAGAGGUAAGCUUGUGAUUCACCUAAUGUGGAAUGGACGUGAACAAUCACUCGAAGA